Molecule: ribosomal RNA, 492 nt
Filed under: uncultured bacterium
Lineage: Bacteria
Description: partial 16S ribosomal RNA
Rfam family: Bacterial small subunit ribosomal RNA
Source: RNAcentral
AGUGAACGCUGGCGGUAGGCCUAACACAUGCAAGUCGAACGGCAGCACAGUAAGAGCUUGCUCUUACGGGUGGCGAGUGGCGGACGGGUGAGGAAUACAUCGGAAUCUACUUUUUCGUGGGGGAUAACGUAGGGAAACUUACGCUAAUACCGCAUACGACCUACGGGUGAAAGCAGGGGAUCUUCGGACCUUGCGCGAUUGAAUGAGCCGAUGUCGGUUUAGCUAGUUGGCGGGGUAAAGGCCCACCCAGGCGACGAUCCGUAGCUGGUCUGAGAGAAUGAUCAGCGACACUAGAACUGAGACACGGUCAAUAUUCCUAAGGGAGGCAGCAGUGGGGAAUAUUUGAGAAUGGGCGCAAGCCUGAUCCAGCCAUACCGCGUGGGUGAAGAAGGGCUUCGGGUUGUAAAGCCCUUUUGUUGGGAAAGAAAGGCAGCAGGGUAAUACCCCGCUGUUCUGACGGUACCCAAAGAAUAAGCACCGGCUAACUUCGUG